RNAcentral lists this ribosomal RNA (509 nucleotides) under uncultured Actinomycetes bacterium. RNAcentral describes it as "bacterial SSU rRNA". It matches the Rfam family "Bacterial small subunit ribosomal RNA", at positions 1 to 530 of the family's 1533-position model. The record is from RNAcentral. Lineage: Bacteria; Bacillati; Actinomycetota; Actinomycetes.
UAGAGUUUGAUCCUGGCUCAGGACGAACGCUGGCGGCGUGCUUAACACAUGCAAGUCGAGCGAUGAAGUUUUUUCGGAAAUGGAUUAGCGGCGAACGGGUGAGGAACACGUGAAGAAUCUGCCCUCCACUUUGGGAUAACACCGGGAAACCGGUGCUAAUACUGAAUAUUGAAACAUAAGUGGCAUCACUGAGUUUUGAAAGAAUUUCGGUGGAGGAUGACUUCGCGGCCUAUCAGCUAGUUGGUGAGGUAAUGGCUCACCAAGGCAACGACGGGUAGCCGGCCUGAGAGGGCGACCGGCCACACUGGGACUGAGACACGGCCCAGACUCCUACGGGAGGCAGCAGUGGGGAAUAUUGGGCAAUGGAGGAAACUCUGACCCAGCGACGCCGCGUGCGGGAUGAAGGCCUUCGGGUUGUAAACCGCUUUCAGUAGGGAAGAAGCGAAAGUGACGGUACCUACAAAAGAAGCACCGGCUAACUAUGUGCCAGCAGCCGCGGUAAUACAUAG